CCUACGGGUGGCAGCAGUGAGGAAUAUUGGACAAUGGGCGAGAGCCUGAACCAGCCAAGUCGCGUGAAGGAUGAAGGACCUCCGGGUGGAAAACUUCUUUUGUAAGGGAGCAAUUGGGUCCACGCGUGGGCUUAGCGAGAGUACCUGAAGAACAAGCAUCGGCUAACUCCGUGCCAGCAGCCGCGGUAAUACGGAGGAUGCGAGCGUUAUCCGGCUUUAUUGGGUUUAAAGGGUGCGUAGGCGGAAUAUCAAGUCAGCGGUAAAAAUUCGGGGCUCAACCCCGUCGUGCCGUUGAAACUGGUGUUCUUGAGUGGGCGAGAAGUAUGCGGAAUGCGUGGUGUAGCGGUGAAAUGCGUAGAUAUCACGCAGAACUCCGAUGGCGAAGGCAGCAUACCGGCGCCCAACUGACGCUGAAGCACGAAAGCGUGGGUAGCGAACAGGAUUAGAUACCCGUGUAGUC
RNAcentral lists this ribosomal RNA (460 nucleotides) under uncultured bacterium. Its description in RNAcentral is "partial 16S ribosomal RNA". It matches the Rfam family "Bacterial small subunit ribosomal RNA", at positions 338 to 795 of the family's 1533-position model. The record is from RNAcentral.